This 521-nucleotide ribosomal RNA is filed under the name uncultured Sphingobacterium sp. RNAcentral describes it as "bacterial SSU rRNA". It matches the Rfam family "Bacterial small subunit ribosomal RNA", at positions 9 to 523 of the family's 1533-position model. The record is from RNAcentral. Lineage: Bacteria; Pseudomonadati; Bacteroidota; Sphingobacteriia; Sphingobacteriales; Sphingobacteriaceae.
GAGUUUGAUCUUGGCUCAGGAUGAACGCUAGCGGCAGGCUUAAUACAUGCAAGUCGAGGGGCAGCAUGGUGUAGCAAUACACUGAUGGCGACCGGCAAACGGGUGCGGAACACGUACGCAACCUACCCAAAACUGGUGAAUAGCCCUCCGAAAGGAGGAUUAAUACACCGUAACUUAAUGAAGUGGCAUCACUUUAUUAAUAUAGCUCCGGCGGUUUUGGAUGGGCGUGCGCCUGAUUAGGUAGUUGGUGUGGGUAACGGCCCACCAAGCCUACGAUCAGUAACUGGUGUGAGAGCACGACCAGUCACACGGGCACUGAGACACGGGCCCGACUCCUACGGGAGGCAGCAGUAAGGAAUAUUGGUCAAUGGACGCAAGUCUGAACCAGCCAUGCCGCGUGAAGGAUGAAGGUCCUCUGGAUUGUAAACUUCUUUUAUAUGGGACGAAACCUCUUAUUCUUAAGAGACUGACGGUACCAUAGGAAUAAGCACCGGCUAACUCCGUGCCAGCCGCCGCAGUAA